UACGUAGGGGGCAAGCGUUGUCCGGAAUCAUUGGGCGUAAAGCGCGUGUAGGCGGUUCGGUAAGUCGGCUGUGAAAGUCCAGGGCUCAACCCUGGGAUGCCGGUCGAUACUGCCGGACUAGAGUUCGGAAGAGGCGAGUGGAAUUCCCGGUGUAGCGGUGAAAUGCGCAGAUAUCGGGAGGAACACCGGUGGCGAAGGCGGCAUCCUGGACCGGUAUUGACGCUGAGGCGCGAAAGCUAGGGGAGCAAACGGG
RNAcentral lists this ribosomal RNA (253 nucleotides) under uncultured bacterium. RNAcentral describes it as "partial 16S ribosomal RNA". It matches the Rfam family "Bacterial small subunit ribosomal RNA", at positions 524 to 776 of the family's 1533-position model. The record is from RNAcentral.